UCACCCCUCCUCCCUGCGCGUUCACCUACUCGUGAACUUGACCGACCCCGCCCCCAUCAUUCAUGCACACGCGACGAGGCUCAUCAUCACUUGGCUAGCAAGGUAACGAGAGUUAGCAGCAGGCUGAGCUACUUGGAAACUUUGCUGGCUUUUGCAGAGCUACAGGAAGAACUUUGGCUUUUGUUACACUGGACUAACCAUUUCAGGAUAACAUAGUCCCUUGGAUUAUAGUCAUUGGACUCGCAAGACCAGAUUCCAACACGGGCUGACAAUUGGAAAUGGGACCUGACACUCUUGGACACAGAUGUCGGCUACGGCAGCGGCUUCAAACAUAGGCUUUGGUGACCACAUUUCUAAUCGAGAGAAUCUAGUUGUGCGAACGAGCGACAAACCAGCUGGGAGGAUGGAAGCACCUGUUCUCAAUUCCCCUUCUCCACCCGCGUUCAGUAACUAAAUACGGAUUCACCCCGUAAUAAGUCAACCGCAGACAGGGUCCUUCCACAACCACAUACUUAUGCCAGUAAAAGCUACAGCUCUUCUCCGAUCCAAGAAGCCUGGACUGCAGUCACCAUCUCAACACACCAACCAAGAGAAAGGCGGAUGGCUCAAUUCAAUAUGGAAAAUUGCACAAUAAAAGUUCCAGGACAUGAAGGCUGCAUACUGUGAACGUCAACCUUCAGGGCACCGUCCUGUGCAGAAGACUUUCUGCCCCAAGAGGGAUGGCUGACUGCAGACACUCACAACCAGCACAGACGCCUCCAACCUCAGACUAGGCCCUUCACAGCUGCUGCACUUACCCACCUUCCCCGAGUUUUUGUGUGGUAAUGACAACUGUAAAUAUAGUAUAAAGUAAUGUAUCUAGUGUCAUGUGUAAUACAUUGUUUAAAUUGUCCAUACAUUUCAA
Engraulis encrasicolus (European anchovy) is the source of this 904-nucleotide long non-coding RNA. RefSeq lists it as uncharacterized. The record is from RefSeq and is a predicted model, not a curated record. Lineage: Eukaryota; Metazoa; Chordata; Actinopteri; Clupeiformes; Engraulidae. The transcript has 5 exons.